UCCAGGUACCGCGAGUGUAAAGGUGUGUCGAAUUGUAAAUAGCGUUGCUCAUCGUUGCCGGCGAUACGCCGCGCGCGACCCUAACCUCGCACGAGACCUUCGUCGCGCCGUGUUUCGCUCCUGCCACGCAGUAAAAUGACUACGGUCGGAAAAUAAACAAUGGGGGCUGGUGAAUCGGGCCGUCGGGCAAUAAAUCAGUGCCACUCGUCCUAGCGCGAUUGUCGGGGACAUCGCUCGUCAGUGCGCACUUCGACAUCUCGCGUCGCGUUGAUCUCUUGUAUCCCCUUCGCGAUCGUCAAAGGUAGACGUUACGGAAAGUGCCGGAUAUUGUAUAUCGCGUAUGGCGCGGGUGAUCGCAACGCUUAAUUAACUUUCUGUUUCUCGUUGGAGAACACGUCGAUCGCGUACGGAUUGGGAAACGCGAUCGCGACCACGCGUUCGAGUCCGCAUGUCGUUCUCGCGUUCAGAAUCUCGAAAAGGAACAUAUUGAAAUAUCGAAGCGUGCGAAAUUGUUCGAUACUUAUCGUCACACGUUCAAAUCGCUCGUUAAUCGUUCGCUACUUACCGUGUCGCGAUCCGCGUUGCGUCUUGCGAAGCGACGACGGAGUGAACGCGUUUCGGUACGUCACGCAUUUCACGCGCUGGGAAACAAGUGUCACAAGCGCUCACAAAUGUCGAGAGUGUUUAAACGUAAACAAGCGACAGUCAUUUACGAUAAUCGCGGCUAGACUGCGAAUUUCACGUCUCGGUGAUCUCCGACCGCCGAGAGCGAAUCUGACGUGCGAAUGCAGCACAGAACGCGUCGGGUUGCGAGACGGUGGUGAUUGUUCGACGAAUUUAUUUCGUCGAUCCGAGUACGAAUCGGUGCGCGAUCGAUAAUCUUAUUCGGAGUGAAUACCGAUGCUGAGUGCCAAUCGAAAGUGAGAAAGAAAAUUCUGGUGAAGAGAGUCUAGCAAUAAAAAAAACGGACCUUUUGUCUUUGCUCGCGUCCCCUUUUUGUUUGACAGAACGCGUUUCGGGAGUGCCAAAUUACAUGUCGCGCGAUCAUGACGAGUUCAUUAUUCGCGCGGUAUCGUUUAAUCGCCGGGGGGUGCUAACGCGCGUUCGAAUUUCACAUUGGUAUUUUUAUCGCGCUUUAUAACCGCCGAACAUGAAUCUACGGCGUGUAAACGUAUAUCGUGAGUGCCGAAUUAUAUAGCGUGUACGUGCGAUUGUGAUCGUUCGUUAUUCAUUUGUUACAACAGUGUAAAUCGCGUGAUCGUUAUACCACGUUACCACGCGGAAUAUCGAACGCAUGAAUUUAUCGAUCGAUCAUUGUCUGUGUUCGCGGAUGCAGCUGCAAAGGCAGGAGACGUCUGGAUGCGGCAACUAUCCUUGGAUAUAUUUCUUGGCUCUGGGCAGCAACAGCAUCGAUCGGGCAACGUAGGAUUACAGUUCCACGCUUGCGCAUCGUACUAGUGAGUGAUAAAUC
Molecule: long non-coding RNA, 1471 nt
Organism: Solenopsis invicta (red fire ant)
Lineage: Eukaryota; Metazoa; Arthropoda; Insecta; Hymenoptera; Formicidae
Exons: 3
Source: RefSeq, a predicted model, not a curated record